GCCCUGGUAGUCUAGCGGUUAGGAUUCACCCCUGUCACGGGUGAGACUCGGGUUCGAGUCCCGGCCAGGGCG
RNAcentral lists this transfer RNA (72 nucleotides) under archaeon GW2011_AR10. Its description in RNAcentral is "tRNA-Asp". It matches the Rfam family "tRNA". Rfam says of the family: Transfer RNA (tRNA) molecules are approximately 80 nucleotides in length. Their secondary structure includes four short double-helical elements and three loops (D, anti-codon, and T loops). RNAcentral also lists the same sequence under 1 other name. The record is from RNAcentral.